Molecule: transfer RNA, 66 nt
Filed under: Stegodyphus mimosarum
Lineage: Eukaryota; Metazoa; Arthropoda; Arachnida; Araneae; Eresidae
Rfam family: tRNA
About the family: Transfer RNA (tRNA) molecules are approximately 80 nucleotides in length.
Source: Rfam by way of RNAcentral
GCUUUCGUGGUGUUACGGCAGCACACUCGUAUUCGAGAGGCCCAGUUUCGAGUCCCGGCGAAAGCA